Molecule: ribosomal RNA, 253 nt
Filed under: uncultured bacterium
Lineage: Bacteria
Description: partial 16S ribosomal RNA
Rfam family: Bacterial small subunit ribosomal RNA
Source: RNAcentral
UACGUAGGGAGCAAGCGUUGUCCGGAAUCAUUGGGCGUAAAGCGCGCGUAGGUGGCUCUAUAAGUCCGUUGUGAAAGUCAAAGGCUCAACCUUUGAAAGCCGAUGGAUACUGUAGAGCUAGAGUCCGGAAGAGGCGAGUGGAAUUCCUGGUGUAGCGGUGGAAUGCGCAGAUAUCAGGAGGAACACCAAUAGCGAAGGCAGCUCGCUGGGACGUGACUGACACUAAGGCGCGAAAGCUAGGGGAGCAAACAGG